UGCAAACGGAACAUACUUGAUUUCAUCAUAAUUUCAAAUUUUGACAGUGAACUUGUUUUUGGUUUCUCUGAAAUAUCAUAAAAAUUCAUCUGCUUGACAGUAAAAAUUUGCAUCUAGUUUUCAUUGUGAAACAUGCAGCUGACAAAUUGCAGAAGAAACAAACGUUACAAAAAUGCAUCCCUGAAGUGGCAAAAAAUUGAAAAGAUUUCACGGAAAGAAAACUUUUACUAAAGCACCUGUUAGGAGAGGUGGAUAUUUUAUGACAGAGUCAGGAGGGUGAAGCUUUAACAAAAGCAAUUUAGAGGAAAGAUGGUUACUUCAUAAGUUGAAGAAGUUCAUGAAUGACAUGAUCAUUAAAUGAUUGGGGUUAACAGUUGCAUCAUAAUUGGUUAUUUCAAAAGUUAGCAAGAUAUUUUUUUCGUUGCAUCAUUGCCUACUUCCACACAUGCACAUAGCCAAAAACAUUGUACUUUUGAAAGUGUUCAUAAUUUUGGCAAUGUCAUGCAAAUGCUGAAUUGUAAAUUGGGUCACCAAAGAUAAAGAAAAAUCUACUUAAAAUUUACAAUAUUUUGAUGCUAUGCUGUACCUAUGUAAGUUGUCAUUUCGAAUGCUUCUGUGGACACAUACUGGCGUUUGACUGAGGAUGUGAUCUUUCCAUGUUAUGUAUUUACUGUGGUCAUUGGUUUUAUAUUACUGACUGUUGGUGUUCUUGAAGAAUGGGGGUAUGCCUGUAUAAUUGCUACAUUCUGACAAGUUUUACUUGAUUAAAACAUGAUCAUAAUUAUAAAAUUUGAAAUUUAUCGUUGAUCAUUUGAAAUUUAUCGUUGAUUAUUUGAAAUUUAUCGUUGAUCAUUUGAAAUUUAUCGUUGAUCUUUUGGACUUCAUCGUUGAUCAUUUAAAAUUUAUCGUUGAUCAUUUGAAAUUUAUCGUUGAUCUUUUAAAAUUUAUCGUUGAUCAUUUGAAAUUUGAAGCAUUGAUUUGUAAAACAAAGAAAGAAUUUAUAUUUCAGUACCUGUA
This is a long non-coding RNA of Xenia sp. Carnegie-2017, 1017 nucleotides long. RefSeq lists it as uncharacterized. Lineage: Eukaryota; Metazoa; Cnidaria; Anthozoa; Malacalcyonacea; Xeniidae. The record is from RefSeq and is a predicted model, not a curated record. The transcript is spliced from 4 exons.